ACUUGUGCAAGAGGCUUGGCUCAUAGACGGAUAACUGGCUUUGCAGUCACUGCAAGAGUACCAGCAACGAACUGGCAACACCUCUCUUUCUCACUUGUGCAAGAGGCUUGGCUCAUAGACGUUCUUCAGCGAGGACGGUAAUUAUGGCGAAAGGGAAGAAGAUGAAAAUAGGAAAACAGAAAGCAACUUGAAGAUGAAGAGGUUCCAGAGCAACCUGAAAGUGAAAAGGGUUUGAAGUGUAUUGAAGAAAGGGUUAAUGCCAUCGAAGCUAUACGGGAAAAUGUCGACAUUAGUCAGGCUCAAUCCGCAUCAAAGAUGAUCCGUAGGGGUAUGAGGAUGCAGGAAGCACUGCAGGUAGAAGACAACGCUGCUCUAAGAAUUCCAGACGUUGAUCGGGGUCCUUCAGACCCUAAAAACUCGCUAGUAGUUGUGCUGUCCAAGGAAAAUGACAUGUAUCGUUUAGGGUGCAAAGAAGGCACCUUAAAUUCUUGCUUUACUAGAGCUGAUUUAGAUAAAAUUGGUGAAAAACUACUUAAAGUGGCUAAUGUACCAGAUAUCCACGUUACUCUCAGAGCUGCGGUAACUCGAUCCACUGGUGGCCAAGGUUACCAGAAAUAUAACUGCAAAUUAGAUUGUAUUUCUCUAAGAUGUAGCUGUAGUAGAAAGAAAAUGAAGUGUAAAUC
Macrobrachium nipponense is the source of this 683-nucleotide long non-coding RNA. RefSeq lists it as uncharacterized. The transcript is spliced from 3 exons. The record is from RefSeq and is a predicted model, not a curated record. Lineage: Eukaryota; Metazoa; Arthropoda; Malacostraca; Decapoda; Palaemonidae.